CCCUGUCUUUUGUCACUGAAGGAAUAAGAACUUGUAAUCAUCUAGAAAUUUCUGAAGAGAAUGAGAAAACAGUUAUAAUCAUCAAACAGGCAAUUCAGGAAAAGUAGAAUUAAUCAGAAAAACAAUGGCUGCCGUCUGCCCCACCCAUAAACUAUUUCCUUGUUAAACUUGCAGCUUGAAGAUAGAGCCAGAAGCCUGUAGUUAGGUCAAAACAUUAACCAUAUGUUUGGAGUUCCAUGAGAGUCCAUUCUUGACACUUGCCUUGGUCUGAUGGUUGCUAUAUGUUUGUCUACAACUUUUUAUUAUCAGGUAUCCUGGCCAUUUCCUGCCCCAGGAUGAAAGAGACAAGAAGAAAGCUUUUCAUAUGAGUGAAAGAAAAAUGAGCAGAAAUGUGAAACCUACAGUUAGGCUAAAGAAAAAAACGAAGUACAGGCUGGGGGAAAAAGGGCUGCAUUACUGGAAAGAAUAUAAUACCUAGAGUGUACUGUGCACAAGUUAGACUACUUCCGGAGGAUGGCUUGCUAUGCUUGUGGACAAGUUGGCAAAUAGCAGAGUGCCCAGAAGAGGAUCACCAGAGAUGAAGGCUGAAAAUGUCAUCACAUGGAGCGUAUGGGGAACUGUGAAGUAACAAUGUUCAAGCCAAGAAGGGAAUGCUGAAGGUACACAGGUUCGAGCCCUGGUCCAUGAAGAUCCUACAUGCCGCGGAGCAACUAAGCCAGUGCGCCACAACUGCUGAGCCUGUGCUCUAGAGCCCGCGAGCCACAACUACUGAAGCCCUUGCGCCUAGAGCCCGUGCUCCGCAACAAGAGAAGCCACCGCAAUGAGAAGCCCGCGCACUGCAAGGAAGGGUAGCCCCCGCUCGCCACAACUAAAGAAAGCCUGAGCCCAGCAACAAAGACCCAACACAGCCAAAGAUAAAU
Molecule: long non-coding RNA, 920 nt
Organism: Balaenoptera ricei (Rice's whale)
Lineage: Eukaryota; Metazoa; Chordata; Mammalia; Artiodactyla; Balaenopteridae
Exons: 3
Source: RefSeq, a predicted model, not a curated record